UGCCAGACUCCUACGGGAGGCAGCAGUGGGGAAUAUUGCACAAUGGGGGAAACCCUGAUGCAGCGACGCCGCGUGAGUGAAGAAGUAAUUCGUUAUGUAAAGCCCUGUCAGCAGGGAAGAAAAUGACGGUACCUGACUAAGAAGCCCCGGCUAACUACGUGCCAGCAGCCGCGGUAAUACGUAGGGGGCAAGCGUUAUCCGGAUUUACUGGGUGUAAAGGGAGCGUAGACGGCAAUGCAAGCCAGAUGUGAAAGCCCGGGGCUCAACCCCGGGACUGCAUUUGGAACUGUGUAGCUGGAGUGUCGGAGAGGCAGGCGGAAUUCCUAGUGUAGCGGUGAAAUGCGUAGAUAUUAGGAGGAACACCAGUGGCGAAGGCGGCCUGCUGGACGAUGACUGACGUUGAGGCUCGAAAGCGUGGGGAGCAAACAGGAUUAGAUACCCGGGUAA
RNAcentral lists this ribosomal RNA (447 nucleotides) under uncultured bacterium. RNAcentral describes it as "bacterial SSU rRNA". It matches the Rfam family "Bacterial small subunit ribosomal RNA", at positions 329 to 793 of the family's 1533-position model. The record is from RNAcentral.